GUCACGCUGUAAACGAUGAAUACUAGGUAUUGAAGGAUUUGACCCUACAGUGCCGUAGCUAACGCGUUAAGUAUUCCGCCUGGGAAGUACGGUCGCAAGACUAAAACUCAAAGGAAUUGACGGGGGCCCGCACAAGCGGUGGAUUAUGUGGUUUAAUUCGAAGCAACGCGCAAAACCUUACCAAGGCUUGAAAUCCCACGAACCUGCUUUAAACGGCGGGGUGCUCUUCGGAGAAUGUGGUGACAGGCGCUGCAUGGCUGUCGU
RNAcentral lists this ribosomal RNA (264 nucleotides) under uncultured bacterium. Its description in RNAcentral is "partial 16S ribosomal RNA". It matches the Rfam family "Bacterial small subunit ribosomal RNA", at positions 794 to 1055 of the family's 1533-position model. The record is from RNAcentral.